This is a long non-coding RNA of Pogoniulus pusillus (Red-fronted tinkerbird), 2727 nucleotides long. RefSeq lists it as uncharacterized. The transcript is spliced from 3 exons. NCBI's taxonomy places the organism in Eukaryota, Metazoa, Chordata, Aves, Piciformes, Lybiidae. The record is from RefSeq and is a predicted model, not a curated record.
GUGAACAGCAGCGCAGCCUUCAGGUGAGUCAGCCACUCCUCCCAGUUUGGUGUCAUCAGCAAACUUGCUGACAGUGCCCUCUGUGCUCUCAUGUAGGUCACUGAUGAAUGUACUGAAUAGUACUGCUUCCAGUACUGACCCCUGAGGGACUCCACCAGCUACAGAUGUCUAACUGAACUCUUCCAUUCACUGCAGCUCUCUGACUCCUUUCCUUCAACCAGUUCACAAUCCACCUCACUACCAGAUCAUCCAGACCACACUGCCUCACUUGAGCUGUGAGGAUGCCAUGGAAACCUCUGUCAAAUGCUUUACUGAAUUCAACACAAACCCACAUCCAGUGUCCUACCAUCAUGUAUCCAUGGAGUUAUGUCCUCAUAAAGGGCUAUCAGGUUUCUUAAGCAUGACAUCUCCUUGGUUAAACCAUCUUGACUGUGUCCAAUAACCUUAUCCUUGAUAUGCUUAGAGACAAUGCUGUGGAUAAGUUGCUUCUUCACCUUUCCAGGGAUGGAGGUGAGUUUUGCCAGUCCAUAGUCACCUGGGUCCUUCUUGCCCCUUUUGAAGACUGGAGGGACAUUUGAUUUCUUCCAGUCCUCAGACAGCUCUCCUGUUCCCCACAACUUACUAAAGACAAUGGAAAGUGGCCUAGCAAUGAUUUCCACCAGCUCCCUCAGCACCUGUAUGUGCAUCCCAUCAGGACCCAUGGCUUUAUGGAUGUCCACAUUGAUCCCUAGCCCAGCCCUCAUCAACCAAGGCAAGCUCAAUAUUUAUCCUGAAUUGCUCUGAGGUGAGGCCUCAGCAGUUUGGGGCUCCCGAGGACAGUCUCCAGCAGUAAGGGCAGAGAUCAAAGGUGGCAUUCAGUAGCUCUGCCUCCCUUUUGUCCUCUGUCACCAGAGCACCCACCUCAUUCAGCAGUGGGCCUACUUGCCUCUAGUGUUAGUUUUCUCUGUAAUGUAUUUAAAGUCUUUUUUUUUUUUUUUGUCUUUGACCUCUCUGUGAUUCCAAGGAGGAUUUAGCUUUCCUGGUUGCCUCCCUAUAUAAUCUGACAAGUCUUAUAUUCCUGCCAGGUGGCCAGCCCCCUUUCCAUCCUCUGUAGCCUUUCUUCUUCCACUUGUUUGCCUAGCAGUUCCCUGUUUAACCAUGCUCCAGAAUGGUUUAUUUUCUUUGUAACCAAAAUGUCUUUUAUGUGUCAAAGAGUUCCCUCUGGAAAUAGUCAUAAUAAUGAUAGCAGGUUGCAGCCUCUGAGCCUUGUAAAAUGAGUAUCUCUGAGAUGCUUUAGAAACCAUUAGUUGUUUAAUAGUGAUUUCCUGGCUGCUUUAGUUCUUGCUCUCUAUUUUAUGUCCUAGGCUCAUAAAAAGUCAAGCACUGGUGAUGUCUCUUCUUUGUUAUUUACAAAGCAGAGGAUACCUUAACACAAAAACUAAUAAUAAUUCCAUGGGUACAAAAGCUGCAGUCUGGAAGAGAAAUUGGACUCAGGCUUGGCAGCGUGGAAGAUGUUAGUUCCUGCCUUUCUAACAGCCAGAGCACUUCUGCUUGUGACCCAUUCACUAAAACCAGCCAUAGGAGAUGACCACAUCUGUAAUGUAAGUGUGUUAGUUGUGUGUGGAAGUCAAUAACUGUAACAGAUUCCUGCACUCAUUUGUACAAGCCAUAUUAUUAUUAAUAAUACUCCAAGUGUUAUUAAUCAAGUCCCCAUUGAUAGGCAUGGGUCCAUUAUGCCAGCGUGAUCCUCUGAUGGUUUUUAAAGUCUUUUCAGGUAACCAAAGUGGAUCCAAGUGGCAAAAAUACCAGUAGUGAGAGGAUAUUUGCAGCUGGGCAUUUGUGAGACUGGGAAGGUCUGGUGUCUAAACUAGGUUGAUGGUGCCCCUUUAAAGCAGAACAGAAUUAGUACUUUGUGAAAUAAUCCCAAAUAGUUUCUGCUGAGUGAGUCCCAGCAAAGCUUUAGCACAUCCCUUAAGAUUAUGGGGUAUGCUUUCAGUGUGAUCCCAGAGGAAUUAGACAGGGAACUUCAGCUAUGGCUUAAUGUGACUUGUGCUGCCAGCCUUGCUAGAAAAUGUGUCCUUCUAUAAUGAAAAAAAUAAAGGCAUUUCACAGCCUUGUCACCUCUCCUUCCCCAUUUCUCUCCUCUUCCCAGGCACUCCCAAAGGUGGUCUUUGGAAGGAAUAUUUAUUAUCUUUCUUUUAAGCCUUUAUCAAAUCCUGUUUUGUACCCUGCACUCUUACCUCAGCUUAAGAUAAUGUACUGAUGGAAGUUAAAGAAAUAGAUGACAUAGAAGGAAUCCUGUUGUUGCCAUCUUGGUGUCACACUCUCGGAAAGUAGAAAAACUUCUGCCAUGGCUAAUUAUGGAGUAAGCUACUUACAAGGGAACUGUUUCCCCAGAUUCUUCACACUUGUCGGUCCCAAAACUGGCUUGGGCAUCAAAACAAGUUCUUGAGUUCUUCACCUGAUUGUUACAAACCACUUCUGCUUUAAGUUAGCAAGACUGAAAUCUUCAUUAUUCACCUGGACUUCAAGGUGGCACUGUCAGAAAGCACUGUGGAAUGAUUUUCUUCUGGAAGGACUUUCACAGGUCUCAUGAAUCUUGAUCAAACUCAGCAUUACCACUCUGCACUCAGGUACUCCUGGCUUCUGCCUGUUGCAGUAGCUUCGUUCCAGAAUUCCAGUGCCUUAAACAAGGAGUAUCAAGAGAGGCUUUGCAACAAGUUGAAAAAUGUCAGUGAUGUGGAAAAU